Molecule: ribosomal RNA, 497 nt
Filed under: uncultured bacterium
Lineage: Bacteria
Description: partial 16S ribosomal RNA
Rfam family: Bacterial small subunit ribosomal RNA
Source: RNAcentral
GAUGAACGCUGGCGGCGUGCCUAAUACAUGCAAGUCGAGCGAACGGACGAGAAGCUUGCUUCUCUGAUGUUAGCGGCGGACGGGUGAGUAACACGUGGAUAACCUACCUAUAAGACUGGGAUAACUUCGGGAAACCGGAGCUAAUACCGGAUAAUAUUUUGAACCGCAUGGUUCAAAAGUAAAAGACGGUCUUGCUGUCACUUAUAGAUGGAUCCGCGCUGCAUUAGCUAGAUGGUAAGGUAACGGCUUACCAAGGCAACGAUGCAUAGCCGACCUGAGAGGGUGAUCGGCCACACUGGAACUGAGACACGGUCCAGACUCCUACGGGAGGCAGCAGUAGGGAAUCUUCCGCAAUGGGCGAAAGCCUGACGGAGCAACGCCGCGUGAGUGAUGAAGGUCUUCGGAUCGUAAAACUCUGUUAUUAGGGAAGAACAUAUGUGUAAGUAACUGUGCACAUCUUGACGGUACCUAAUCAGAAAGCCACGGCUAACUACGUG